This 31287-nucleotide long non-coding RNA is filed under the name Theobroma cacao (cacao). RNAcentral's name for it is "long non-coding RNA (TCAC_LNC000668)". The record is from RNAcentral. Lineage: Eukaryota; Viridiplantae; Streptophyta; Magnoliopsida; Malvales; Malvaceae.
UAGCAAAACAAGGUUGCGGCAAGAUACAAUAAUUCCCCCUGGAACAAUAUCAGGUCUCUCUGAAUUAACUGAAUUAAGCAUUGAUGUUGAUCCAGAUGAUGAACGCUGGAAUGCUACUGUGAAAGCAAUUAUUGAGGAAGCUUGCGACCUGAAAACUUUAUUACAGCUUAAUUUGUACCUGCCAAACAUCGAAAUAUUGUGGAAACGAAGAACAGGUAGCACAUCAUUGCUCCAUUACCCCUUGCCACGUGUCAGAUUUACUGUUGGUUAUCACAAACAGCAGGUCAUAUCUCGAGUACCAGAAGAAGUAGAAGCUUACUUCAAUAAGGGCGACAAAUGCUUGAAGUUUGUCAAAGGCAAGGAUAUCCCAGCUGAAAUGAGAAUGGCAGUCAACCACAGCACAGCAUUUUUCCUGGAAGGUCAUGCUACAGCUAGGAGUUUGUCGGAUUUUGGAAUUGAAAAUACCAGGCAGCUAAAAUUUUGCUUAUUGACUGAAUGUAAUGAAGUCCAAACCAUCAUUGAUUGUGCAGAGUUUCCUGAAGAGCAGACUGAUGCACUUGGAAACCUACAAGACUUGACUAUAUAUUACCUGAAGAAUUUAGUGAGCAUUUGGAGGGGGCCUGUUCAUAAGCACUGCCUAGCUAGCCUGAAGUUCCUUGCACUUCAUAAAUGCCCCAAAUUGAGUAUCAUUUUCUCGCCAGAUUUGGUUGCUAAUCUUGCCAAUUUAGAAGAGCUCAUUGUUGAACACUGCCCUCAACUGACCAGUCUUGUGAGCCUAAUAGGUCAUGCAUCCAGCAACUCAGCACCACAACCAAAUUGCUUUCUUCCAAGCUUGAAAAGAAUAUCACUGCUUUACGUGCCAAAUCUUGUUAGCAUUUCUAGUGGCUUGUGCAUUGCUCCAGAGCUGGAAAAAGUAGGCUUUUACAAUUGCCCGAAGCUUAAGAGUCUUUCUGCGAUGGAAAUUUCAAGUGAAAAUUUGAAGAUGAUCAAAGGAGAAAGUCGCUGGUGGGAAGCAUUGGAGUGGAAGAACUCAGAGUGGGGGAACCGGCUGGAUUAUCUGCAUAGUAUCUUUUCCCCACUUAUUAAGGAGAGAGAUGUGAAGGCGCAAUUGGCCGAGGAGGGAAUUAUGCACCAAGCUUCAACUUAAACAAGGAGAGAGAUGUGAGGGCGCUGGGCAACAGCCAGGUAAUUUCUUUUAAAUUAAGAAGGUGUCCUUUUAUUUGUCAUCCAAGUAGUACAAGUAAAUAAGCAGAUAAUGGGCUUAAUAAUGGAGGAUGAGCAAUUCACGAAAGGCUAAUAUCUGACUCCCCUAACCCCACACCUCCCCACAACCCACCACCCCCCCCCCCCCCCCCCACAAAAAAAAAAAAAAAAANAAAAAAAAAAAAAGAAAAAAAAGAAUCAACAAAAACAGUAAUAAGAACCACUGGGCACUUCUGUUCUUUUGUUUUUUGUCAGAUUUCUCUAUGUUCUUCAGACUAUACUUCUCAUGAUUUAAGUGAUUAGUCUUGGACAAAACUGUAUUUCCAGGAGUCCAAGAGCUAAAUGUGGAACCAUGACAGUUUACAUUGGUGGCUCGGAUUUUGAAUAAAUUGAAGGUCAAAACCUCACACCAACAUGGAUGAUAGUUUAUUUUGUCUGAGUAGGCAGCUGCAGGCGUAGCUUGCCGAUAGUGUAUGCACCUUUUGUUUUUUCCUGAUAUUAAACCUUUUAUUGGAUUUCUGAGAGAUACAUUUCUAACAUGUAUAUCAUCACGUUAAGGGUUCAAUGCCAGAACAUUGGCGGGUAUUUCAAGAAUUAGUUGUUUGCUAUAAUCCCUGUCAAGUUUUAUUCUGAUUAUGUUGAAAUUGUGAUAAAGAGCUUUUGCAUCAUUUUUUGUCCUCUUGCAAUCUCUGUUCUUUGAAUGAAAAAAACUGAAACUCUGUGAGGAUUUUGAACCAAUUGCUUUAUAAAAUUUCAAGCAUAUUGACGUAUCCUCGAAGCAACCUAGAGUUAAAGCAGCAAAUAAAAAUUUGUUUGGGACCUAGAGUUAAGGCAGUGCAAAUUUUAGGCUUAUGUCCAAAGUUUUUCUUUGUGCUAUAGUAAAAGGUAACUAGUAUGAGGAAUCUACAACAUCAUUCAAACCAAAGCAGUGCAAAUCUUUUGUUGUUCUUAAUUAUUCUCAUUACAGCAAUGCAAACUUGAAUAACCAAAGAAACAUUCACCUGAGGCAACAGAAGGAUUGAAGGUGGUCUCUAACCUCACUGUCUCUCCACUGUAGUGCUUCCCACCGUAUUCGUUCUCCUUCUAUUAAUUUUAGCUCUGUUGCAUUGUGUUCACGGAAGGGUAGUGAUUUCACCUCGGGACAUCCAAAUAUCUUAAGCACCUUUAAAUGGGGCCACGCCGAUGACUCAUCCGCAGAUAUAAUUCUUAAUUUCGGCAUGUCAACCAGUUCCAAAGUCUCUAGAUUUGGAAGCUCAGUCAACUUUUCUAUCUCGAAGCAGCUUUCCAUCACCAAUUUUUUGAGUUUUGAGAGCUGUUGAAUCUCCCCGUUGGAAAAUAUCUUUGUCAACAUUGGACAACUCUUUACUACAAUAGUAUGUAGUUUUGACAAGCUUUUUCCUGAAGUGGGGCCUUAGAAAAUACUCUUCAGAAGGAGCAAAUUCCUUAAAUGUAACUGUUCCAAGAUCGUUAGAAUGUCCAUUUCUCCUUCCUUUUCGGCAUCUAUAAUGCUUGUGAUUUUAUUGCAUCGCUCAAUCAGACAACCCCGAACAUGGUUCUGGCUGGCAGCAUUCAUGAAGUCUGAUAGACAUUUGAUGUUGUUGUGACCGAUCAAUUCCAAUGCAUCAGUUUUAGGAAGGACAUCACGAACUGUAGAAUCAUCAUUGCCAGGAUAGCAGUAUCUCAUAUAUCUAUUUACCUUGUAUUCCAAACAAUCAAGAAUCAGAGGGUUGUUGUUUCUUUCACAGCCAACAAAAAACCAAAAUGAGGUUAAUUGUUCGCGAUCCCUCCAUGAUGGCCUGUUUUUAAUUAACAUUUUGAGGAUCUCUGGUCGUGGAAAGCUUACUCUAACAGUAGUUAAAUUCUUCAAGAAAGCCACCUCCUGAACGACUCUUUUUGCAACAUCAAUGCACCAAUGGCCAUAGGAGGUCACAUCAAUCAUCAGUUCCUCCAAUCUUAGAAGUCUUGAAAUCACCUUGUAAUCAAUUUCCAUAUCAGGAUAGUCUUCUGUAUUGCUGCAUUUAUGGUAUGACAUCCGCAAGCACCUCAGGUAAACUAAUUUUCCAAUAACAGGAGGUAUGAAUAUUAUCUUGCAGCCUCUAAUGUCAAGCACCUCAAGAAAACGAAGUUCUGCAACUUGGGGAGGCAACUUUGUUACGUUGGGGCAAUCAUUUAAGAAAAGUGCCUUAAGUCUAAUCAACUUUGAUACAGACGACGGUAGUGAUGCAAUUCCUGUUUGGUACAAGUCCAAAACAAGGAGCUUCUGCAUGUUCUUAAAAAAUGAUGGUGGAAUUGUGACCAAAUCGGGGUUUUUUUGUAGUAAUAGAGACAAAAGUUUGUUGCAGUUUGGACUUUCUGGCAAGUCAUGCAGUUUUCCUUUAAUCAUAGAGAUCUUUUUUGCCUGUUGCCAAUCUUUCAGCCUGUGGGUAUAAGGUUAAGCUUCACCUUUUGGAGCAAAAAAUUUGCAAUCAGGGUCUUGUGAGGAAAUGUAAAAGGCAAAUUGUCUGACACUAUUGUUCACUUGAACAUAAAUCAUUCUUUCACCUUUCUCUCGCAAUGACACAUUGCCACAUUGGUUAGAUGUCCCAAUAUGUCAUAUCCUUUAUCUCUUGCAUCCCGAAGACUCCUCCCGUCAUCAAUAUUGCCAAGAAGUCCUUCAGCCGCCCAACACUCCAGUAAAUAAUCUGUAUAUAUCUUGCUAUCAGCUGGAUAUAAUGCACCAUACAGAAAGCAUUUCUUUUUCUUCUCAUCCUUCAGCUCGUCAUAACAAAACUUGAGUGCUGCAUACAUUUUUGUUAAACCUGGGAUCUCAAUUUUUGGCCAUUUUUCAAGUUCGCUCAAUCCAUUUCUCCAUUCAGAAUCACUGUCCUUUAAUUUGAAGGAACUUGCCACUGUUCUGAUCACAAGUGGGAGUCGAUCACACUCAUCAACUACCAGCCGAGCAACUGGUUCAACAUCAGGGAGAUCGAUUUUCUCAACUGCUAUCUGUUGAAACAUUCUCCAUGCCUCAUCUGAAGAUAAUUUAUCCAUUUUGACCAUUCUAUCUGUCAUUGGCGAACAAACAUGACGAAAUUCAGUAGUCAAUACCACUUUGCUACCAUUACCAUAUCUGAGAUUCCAAUCUGCUGCAAAUCAAUGGAGUCCAUGACCUCAUUCAGAAGCAGCAAAUACUUCUUAUGCUUCAUAUAUUCUGAUAUGAUCCUCGCAAGUUCACCAGAGCACGUAGCACGUUCCGCCUUCAGUUUAAGUCGCUGUGCAAUGUUCAGUUGCAGUUUCUCAUCAUUCCUCUCCCUUGAAACAUUUAUCCAAAUGACUACAUCAAACAUUUUGGCAACUUCUUCAUGGUUAUUCAAGUUCUUCAGUAUUGUUGUUUUCCCAACUCCCUCUGUGCCAAAAAUUUCGAUUUCUUUUAGUUUAUCGCUUCUUAGCAACUCUAGUAUUUCUUGUAAUGAUCUUUGAAGGGUGGCAAAUCCUUCAAGGUCUGGUGCAUUCAACUUCACAGUUUUUUCUGGAGGCUUCUCUACCAAAAAUCCUCUUUUAAAUGCUCCCUCUUUCACAAGUUUCUCAACUUUCUUGCACAUAGUAAUGACCUUGUCACUAUAAUUUUUUUUUUUAAGAUUAAAAGUAUUUCCAUUAAAUCAGGGUGAAAUCCCCGAUGUACACAAAAUGGAAAGGACUAGGAGAGACUUGGUCCAGGUGCCCUUCCUGAAGCUUGGCAUACAAAAAAGCCAGCUGAAAACAAAAUGCUAUACAACUACAAAAUUUGAUAUAAGCAAGACUCAAAGAAGUUACAGCCACCCUUAACAGCCAAAAAGGGCGAAGGGAGAGCAAGAGUGAGAAACAUGGCCAUUUUGGAUGUUUCUCCCUCUUGCAAAUCCAUACUCAAGCAAAACAACCCAAAAAGCUAUUGGCCUUAUUAUGCAAAAAGUGAUCUGCACCAGCAACAUAGCAGUAAACACAGUCAAAAGCAUGCCCAAUCACUCAAGCAGUUAUGGAAACACACAUAGCAGAUCAUGUCACUAUAAUCUGACAGCCACAUAGAAAGUGAGGACCCUUCCGUUUCAUACUCAGCUUGUAAAUUUUCCACUUUCUUUUAGAGUCUUCACAACUUCAGUAGGCCACGUGUUGUAGCUUAUGGAAGUUGUUUUUGUUCCGUAUUGUUCCACUGUCCUCUCAUUGUCGUUCCUUUUUGCCUUGAGCUUUGCUGCAGCAGUUUUCAACAUGCUGAUAUUAUCAUUAUGCUAUUCCAUGAACUACGCUUCCCCACAGCGUAGUCCAAAACUCCUUUUACCCCAUCUUUUACCAAAUCAUUUAGCAAUUCAGCCAUUAUAACUUCGACGCUGCAACUGGCAUUCAAAUUAAAAAAAAAUCAGAUUUUUUUGUAAUUGUAACCAAAUCAGAUGUCUGCUUAUAUUUAAACUGUUUGGAGGGAAAAAAUAUACAAGUCAGAUUCUGUAAUUUGUUCUUUUCUUAUUUUUUCGUAUUUGUUUAAUUGCUAGUCCAGUUAAAAUAAUGGAUACCAACUGUUUGAAGAAAGUUCUGCAGAUAAUGGGUCUGUCUAUUCUCUUAUUUUUUUUUAUCUUUGUAACAAGAUGUUGUUUCCUUUUCUUUUGGAUAAAUAAAACUUUUACUUAGAAAAAAAAAAAUCAAGUGCAAGCUCAACACCAGCAAUUGUUAAACUCCAAAUAAGCUGAUCAUCUCACCAUAACUUGCCAAUCUACCUUUCUCAAUGCACUAAGACGUUGUGAAGACAUCAAUCCCACUAAGGUAAAUAAUAGUUAAAAUCUCAUUUAUUUUCUGAAAAAGAAAAUAAACACUUCUGUUUAUUUAAAAUUUUUUUUUUAUUAAUUCUCAACUUAGAUGUGUCUAAUAAUUAACUUAAUAGGAUUUUAUAUAACUAUUCGUAAGGAAGAGAGCUUUUUACUUUUUUUAUGUAAGAUUAUUAUAUUUUUUAAAUAAAUUAAAUAAGAAAGUAAUUUAAUUUAAACUUAUUUAUAAUACAAAUAAAGUAAAAGAUAAUUAAAAAAAGAUAAUAAUAGAAAUAAUCUUUCAUAACUUAACACGCAAGUAACUUAAUAUCAUAGUUAUAUGUUUAGUAUAUUUAGUUGAAUGUUACAGUAAAAUAGUUGAAUGAAAUAUUCAAUUCAAUCUUUGUAUAUUUAGUAGCAAAAAUACUUUCUUUUUAGGAAUCAAUUUCUGUAGUUUCAUGUUUUAUGGAAUUUUGCCAUUUCAUUUCCUUUUGCUUUUUGCCUCAAAUUAUGUCAAAAUCAAAGAGGACAAAAUUUUGAUUUGGAGAGAGUCGAGGAUUAUAUCUGGUUGGAAUUUACAUCAAUUUGAUAGUUUGGGGGCGAGCUUGCUUAUACCUGUACGACUAGGAAAAGCAUCAAUAGCACCUGUUAAAAACUAAAAUCAAACACAAAGUCCAACAAUAUGUCCUUGGCUAAAAAAAUAUUGAGGAAUCUCCAAAUCCAACAGCUGUUAACACUACGAAGCUACAACAUCCACUCAAACUAAAGCAGUUAAAAUCUUAUGUUGUUCUUAAUUGUUAUCAUUACAACAGUGCAAACUAGAAUAACCAGAAGAAACAUUCACCUGAGGCUGCAGAAGGAUUGAAGGUGGGUUUCUAACCUCACUGUCUUGCCACUACAAUGCUUCCCACCAUAUUUGUUCUCCUUCUAUUAAUUUUAGCUCUGUUGCAUUGUUUUUACUGAAAGGUAGUGAUUUCACCUUGGGACAUCCAAAUAUCUUAAGCACCUUUAACUGGGGCCAUGCCAAUCACUCAUCCGCAGAUAUAGUUCUUAAUUUCGGCAUGUCAACCAGUUCCAAAAUCUCUAGACUUGGAAGCUCAAUCAACUUUUCUAUCUAGAAGCAACUUUCCAUUACCAAUUUUUUGAGUUUUGAGAGCUGUUGAAUCACCCCAUUGGAAAAUAGCUUUGUCAACAUUGGACAAUACUUCACUACAAUAGGAUGUAGUUUUGACAAGCUUUUUCCUGAAAUGGGGCCUUCGAAAAUACUAUUCAGAAGGAGCAAAUUCCUUAAAUGUAACUGUUCCAAGAUCGGUAGAAUGUCUAUUUCUCCUUCCCUUUCGGCAUCUAUAAUACUUGUGAUUUUAUCGCAUCUCUCAAUCAGACAACUGCGAACAUGGUUCAGGCUGGCAACAUUCAUGAAGUCUGAUAGACAUUUGAUGUUGUUGUGACCGAUCAAUUCCAAUGCAUCAGUUUUAGGAAGGACAUCAUGAACUGUAGAAUCAUCAUUGCCAGUAUAGCAGUAUCGCAUAUAUCUAUUUACCUUGUAUUCCAAACAGUCAAGAAUCAGAGGGUUGUUUUCGCUUUCACAGCCAACAAAAAACCAAAAUGAGGUUAAUUGUUCGUGAUCCCUCCAUGAUGGCCUGUUUUAAUUUCUGAAGUGAUCAGGCUAAGAUUUUGCAGCCAAAAUACUCCUGUUUCUUUUUAGAAAAAUUGAUUGAUUUCUUUAUGUAAUGGUUCUGUCUAUUCUCCUAUUUUUGUAUCUUUGUAACAGGAUUUUUUCCUUUUCUUUUGGAUAAAUAACACUUUUUACUUCAAAAAAAAAAAAAAAAAAACAGCUGCGUGCUGAACACCGGGAAUUGUUAAACUCCAAAUAAGCUGAUCAUCUCAUCAUAACUUGCCAAUCUACCUUUCUCAAUGCACCAUUCAAUGCUAACUACAUUAUCUAGAGGAGGGUUCAAAGCUUCAUGCAUAAACCCGAAAUCUUACCAAGAAAAGGGAAGUAGAAAUGGCUCUCCAGAUUCAUUCCAACCCUCACAAUCCAAUUAUAUUUGUUCCAACAUUUGAAAACACAUAUAUCAAAUUUUUAACCUUUUAUUUGCUGUCGACUUCAAGUCAUGAAAAGAGCUUCAUGCAACAAUCUGUGGGCCUAUACUCUUAUGUGUUUUUUGUGUCUUGUUUCUGGUGGGGUGUUGUGCUGGUUGUAAAAGGGUCUGUUAUGAACUGGGUCUUUGGGGAGCUCUGCUUGUAUCUGGGCAGGGGAGAAACAGGGUUAUUUUUCUGUUUCAAGAUUCUGAGUAUACAGGGUGUGGAUGUUGUAAGGAAGAAAUAUCUGUUGUGUUCCUUGGGUUGCUGUGAGCAGACAAGGAGAAGAGGGACUCCCCUCAUCUAGAGGGGAGGUUCUUCCCUUGACUCUUUUUGUAAUUAAUAAAAUUCAAUGGGUUUACUUGAGAGUUUCAAACUAGUUGAACGAAAGAAGAAAAAUCUAGCUAAGGUUCAAAGAUCAAAACACAAUCAAUCAACUUUGAUUGAAACGACAAAUACAUAAACUACUUGGUCUUGUACUGUCCCGAAGCAUUCUCAAAAGCAGCCGACAAAGAUCUAUGUUUCAAACUAUAUUUUGAUGAAUUGUGUAAUCUACUAACAGAAAACUUACAUAUGUCUACUCGCAGAUGAUGGACCGUUGACUCAGGAGAUGCAAGAGAUUUUUUGGCUCUAAUCUGGAAUGCCCAUACACCACUUGAAUCUCAUGACUCACUUUUCAUGUCUUUGUAAAUAGAUAGAUUAUUAUCUUUGCUAUAUAUAAUGAAAGAACUUGUUAUUACAUAUUCUUAAAUGUUAUCUUGUGAUCAACAAUUGUAUGCCAUGAAAUUGAAAAUGACACUACUGUCCAAAAUGAUGUAGCCAAAGUCUGGCUCUAAAAUGUCAUUUGUGAUUUGCCUUGGCAAGUGUAUUUUUUUUUAAAAAGAGAGAAUUUAAAUUCUACUUUUGUUUCUUCGAUGAUUAAAAUAUUGGGUAGAAAACCGUGAAUGAUUAAAGUAUGGACAAGUGACAAUGGCGUGCGGACAAAAGUUUGGUUUUCCCUAGUUCAAAGAACAUAUGGGCGCGUAUGCAACUUGCUCUUCAUUGUUUAAUUUGACUAAAUUCAUGGAGCAGAUCUUGGGAGUGAGCGGGCGGCUCUCGCUUCUUCUCACAUGAAGUUUGAAAGCUUUUAACAAGCCUACCGGAGUGUGGAGAGUCCAUGGCAGAUAGGCUAUGAAUGAGAUGGGAAUUAACCAUGGGGGGUUGAUGCUCAGCAUUUAACAGGUUGGUACCCGAAUCCCCUACAUAUGCAAGCCAGAUUGGUCCUUUUUGUUGGAUGAAUCAUCCUCCCAGGGAUUAGAUUUUUAUAUUUGAGACGUAAUUUUUAUGCAAAGAAGACUAAUAAGAUUUAAUUACACAGGUGGAGCACUUGAUUUCCCUAGUUUUACUACAUUUGGAAGCUCUCGUCCUCCAUUCAUUGAUUACUAGUGAAUUGUUAACCGGCAUUAGGGAAGUAAAAACCAUCUGCCGAACUCAUAUCAAGGUAUAGCUGGACACAGUAAGAGUACCAUUUCAAGUUUAACUGAGCCUGGAAAUUGUUAACUCUGAGCGUUCAACUAUAAAUUGGAUACGACAAACUUGUCCUGCUAAUUCUUUCAUUUUCCAACCCUUACGGACUUUUUAUUUUAAUUUGAUAACUUAUUCUCGAUUCCUGGUGCAAAUUACUACAUGCUUUCAGCUUCGAGUUCACUAAUUUUCUAUUCUUAGAUGCCAAUGUCCUGCUACUUUUUGGCUUGUAUUCAAUCACACUUGCUGGACGAAACAUUAUCUCCUAUUGUCGAGAUUUUAUGGUAGUACAUCUAAUUCUUUCUUUCUUUUUUUCCAAUAGAGACAUGGAGAGCUGGGAACGUAAGAAUGUUAGAAAUGAACUAAGACAAGGGAGGAAGCUAGCAAAGCAGCUCCAAGCAAAUCUCAAACGGUCAUCUUCCGAAGAAAAUCCUGAGUUAGUCCAAAAGAUCGUAUCGUCCUUUGAAAAGGCACUUUCAAUGCUUAACUGCAGCACCUCCUCUAUGGCAGCCAAGCUGCAGCCCAUAGCUCACAGCUCGCUUGCUCGUGAUGGAAGUCACCAGAGUAAGGACCCUGACCAUGAUAUCAAGGAGCAAGACUUCAAAGUUAAAGAUUUCUUCAUGAAAAGGUACAUGUAGACAUAUGGGAAAUUUAUGAUGACAUAAAAUGGAAACCUAAACCAAUUUAUGCUUAAUUGCAGAGAAGUAACUGAGUCACAGCCUAAAGGACUUGCAACUGAAAUGUUUAAAUUCCCGCCUCCUUUCAGUGGAAGCUUCUCAAGUGCGGGAAAUUUGGAAGCCUUUGACGGGUAUGUAUCCUCUCCUUUUUAUGAAAGCUUCCUCGAUACGGACUCUGACAAUGGAUUCAAGGAGCAGGGGUUCAAAGUCAACUACGAUGUCAAUAAAAGCUAUUUUCUCUGUCUCUUUUUUUUAUCUAAUUUUUCAAAUGUUAUAUAAUAUUAUUUAUAUUCUUAAUUUAUUUUUCGUAAUUUUUUUAUUUUUUAUAUUAAAAAAUAUUAAAUAUUUAUUUUAUAAUUUUUUAAAAUUUAAUAUAAAAUAUUUGAAAAUCAAAACUUUAAUUUUAAUUUUCAUGAAAAGAGUACUUGGAAAGAGUACUUAAGAUGAUCUAUAAAGGGGAAAACUAAACCAAUUUAUGCUUGAGUGCAGUAAGGCAGCCGAAUUAAAGCCAACAAUAAUUGGGACCGAAUUUGACCAUGAUUUCAUGGAGGAGCAUGAGCUCAAAGUCAAUGAAACCUUCAAUAAAAGGUAUACUAUAUAUAUAUAUUUCUGGGUAAUUUGUGAUGAUAAUUAAAGGGAAAUCUGAACCAAUAAUUUAUGGUCAAUGAAAUAGUUGCAGUGUGAAAGAUGAGUCAAAGCCUGCAGGACAUGCAAAAGUAAUGUUUAAGUCCUUGUCUGACUAUAACUUGGAGAAGAAAAAGCACACCGUCGGCGAUGCUUCCAAGAAAAGGUAUGUAUAACAGGAAUAUGGGCAAGUUAUGAUGAUAUAAAAGGGGAAACUAAACGGAUUUUCUGCUGAACUAUAGUGCUGCAGGUGAGUCACAACCCACAGAAGUUGAGUUUAAAAAGCCCAAAUCCUCGCAUUCUCUUGGCGAAAGCCUCCCAAGUAAGGACUCUGACUAUAAUUUCAAGGAGCAGGAGCUCAAAAUCAAUGAGGGCUCCGGCAAAAGGUAUAUAUAAGAGCAUAUGAGCAAUUUAUCAUAAUACAUUGCCAACUAAUCCAAAAAAUUAAAAAAAAGAAUUUACAUUGAAAAAAGAAGGCCUCAAUUAAUGUUAUAUCUUUAAUUGGUUUGAACAAAACAUUUCCAUGUUGCAGGAACGCUAGGCGGAGCUGGACAGUAUUGGUUCACUCUGAUAUGGUCCUAGGGGAACUUCCUUCUGAUGGUUGCAAUUGGAGGAAAUAUGGACAGAAGGAUAUUCUUAAUGCAAGAUUUCCAAGGUAGAGACAUUUUCCUCUUUUAGUGCAUAUUAUUAAAAACAAGAUGCAAUUGAUGCGUUAAUUAAGGCUCAGAUCGCUCCGUUUAGAUGUUAUUUUUUCUGCUUUUUUUUUUCUUGAUAAAGCCAUUAAGUGUCUGUUUAUUUAGGGUUAUAGGUUAAUCAGUUUAUUCUUUUUAGAGUUAAAGUUCACACUUUCCUUUUUUGGUAUAUGGAGAAGAUAUUUCUUCCUUCCUUAUCAUGUCUUUCUUGAAGCCAUUUUCGUAUAUCCCUUCAGAAUGCAUUGCUUUAGAGUGACACUUGAGACCUUCAGUAAAAAAAAAAAAAUUGCUGAAACAUUAUCACAUAGAAUCAAUGUAGGCCAAAAACCAACUCUAUGUGGACAGCUUAAACUGGACUUUUACUCCUCUGCAGUUCCAUUAUUAUCUGUUCCGAACAAAAGAUGUUUUAUCGGUAUGAGCAUUCUUGACUGCACGCUAGUGCAGGACCUUGGUGCCUAACCAAUGGCAUGAUUUAAUAUUUUUUUUUCUGGACUUAAUGUAGAAUAACUGUUCUAGACAAUUGUGGAUAUUUGAUAAUAACUCCCAUUUCCUAAAGAGCUAGCGUCCCAAAGACAUGCCAUGUACAUGUAUUUCAUAUAUCCUAUUUGUGAUGAAACAAAUUUAAAAAUUCACUGAGCUUUAAACUUGAAAUAACCUUUCUUUUCUUUCUUACAGAGAAUACUACAGGUGCGCACAUCGACACACUCAAGGCUGUUUUGCUACAAAGGAAGUCCAAAGAGAGGAUGAAGAUCCAAUGUUCAUCACUGCUACUUACAAAGGAAUGCACACUUGCACACUAGCCCCAGAUUUGAUGCCUCCAGGACCACCUGAGAUACUAGCUGUACAGAACCUACUCUUUAUCACGUUCCAUUUAGAUUAAGGUCUUUCUUAUAGAUAGAAUAAAUUAAUUUAGAUUCUGAUAUUCUAGUGAAAUAAGUACUUUUCAUGUAUAUUUGCAGCCUUUGGAUACUGUACUUGGCGCCGAUGGAAAUGACAAAAAGGAUUCACAAUCUAAUCUUCAGUCAAGUGUACACAGUCCUGACAAUCAAACUUGCAUUUCGUCAACCAAGCUAACAAGUGAGCUUCCAAAUUUAGGGCUCAACCUGAAUGUGUUUCCUGAGAAAUCAUUUAAGUCAUAUCCAACGUGGAAAAACUUUUAUGAAAAUGAAGUGAGGAAGAAUUGGAAAGUGCUGAACAGGAAGAAGGAUGUGCUACUCUUACUUUCAUCUUAUCCUAUGAUUAUGAUUGACAAAUCUGACACAGAUAAAUGGAUUAUUGAUGUAUUGGCAACCAUGAGACAUGUGAAAUCAACAGAAAAGAUUUUAUUUGGUGUAGGGGUAGCGAAACAUUGGCCAGGAAUGACUACGCUGCAGGAACUUUCUGGACGCUUGCAGAAGUUGCUGGAUGUUCCCUUGAUGAAUGAUAUUGAGGGAGUUUUACCGGUAGACUUGGUUGAGAACCUAUAUAGGACUACAGAAGCUGAUUUAAGACCCCUGUUGGAAGUGGAACAGAAUAUAAUUAGCGGAAAGACAUCAAAAUCUAGAGGUUCAGCAAGUAACAGUGAAGGGGCAGCAAUGGAAGCAGAAAAAGAAUUGCAGCCAAUGCCUGCAAAAUGUAAAACUCUGGUAGAAGAUACUGAGUUGCCAGCAAAAGGAACACUGAAUGUACCAGAAGAAAUAUUUGACUUGGCAAUUUAUUUAGCUGUUCGUCAGAUCUUAAAAUGUAUAAACAGGGGAUAUAUCUGGUGUAUUACUAUCAGUGGAAGAGAUAAGAAAAGGGUGCUAGGAGCAGUAAAGCAACACCAAGAUAUAGUUUCCGAGUUUGGAUAUAUCAUUGUAUUCACUGUGUCAGAAGAUCAAAGUGGGGCAAAUGUUCACGGUGUCUUUCAACUGCAGAAGGGUUUUUGGCUAGGUGGAUGCUUUGAUUCUGUUGACCUUACACAUGAAUAUUUUGACAACUUGUGCUCCCCAGGAAUCUUAUUGCUUACAGAGGAUGAUUACGAUAAGAACAUGAACUUGGAUCAGUCUACACUCCCACUUUUGAUAAACCUUAACAAGUUGGUUGACCAUAAACAUAGCGAUUCAAGGUUCAUAAUCUUUACUUCUAAAAUGGCAACAGACAUGGAGAUAAGAAUGGAGGAUCAUUUGUUGUCAUGGAAAUUGUUUUGUAGGAUUGUGGGUGAAGGUUUGCUUUCUCCUAGUAUCCAACAGAUAGCAGCAAGUUUGGUGAAAGAAUACCGUGGCAAUCUACUCGCCAUCAUUCUAACGGCCAGGUCCUUGGAGAAAGUUACUGAUGAUGUCAACUUGUGGGAACUUGCUGUUAAAAGAUUGACCAUGCUACCUCCAUCUCAAAUAGAAGAUAUAGACAAUGUCCUGAUUAAUGCAUUAACAUUCAUUUGGGAACGUAUGAACAAUAAAACAAGACAUUGCAUUAAGUUUUUCACGUGGUAUCCCAAGGGACAGAAAAUUAACAGAGUCUCACUAAUACAACAUUGGAUCCAAGAUCGUCUGGUUGAUACCCAUGAUGAAGGUACCAAUAUUAUCCAAAAUCUUGUUGAUACAUCCCUGCUUAAUAUUGUGGAGUUAAAUGGGGUCCAACUGCGAAGAGAGAUCUAUGAUGUAUUAGUAAACCCACUAAUUCUUCAAAUGCAUCCAUUUUAUCUUUUGCUAGGCAGGGCAAGAUUGAUUAAACCACCAGAAGAAGAGGAAUGGGAUGCCAAAGUGAUCAAUUUGAUGGAUAAUAAAUUAUCUGACCUGCCAGAAUCUCCAAGGUCACCCUCACUAAUUGCAUUGUACCUUCAGCGUAACUUGGAUCUCAUGACUAUCCCAUCUUGUUUCUUCAAGCACAUGCCUUUGCUUCAAAUCCUAGACUUAUCACACACCAGCAUCAAAUCUUUGCCAGAGUCACUUUCUAGUUUGGUUAACCUUCGAGAACUCCUUUUGAAAGGCUGUGAACUCUUCAUACGACUCCCUAGCCAUGUUGGAGAACUGAAGAAUCUUGAGAAGCUUGACCUUGAUGAAACUCAGAUUAUUGAUCUCCCAGCAGAGAUUGGACAACUUUCCAAAUUAAAAAUUUUGAGGGUCUCAUUCUAUGGAUAUAUGAACUGUAGCAAAACAAGGUUGCGGCAAGAUACAAUAAUUCCCCCUGGAACAAUAUCAGGUCUCUCUGAAUUAACUGAAUUAAGCAUUGAUGUUGAUCCGGAUGAUGAACGCUGGAAUGCAACGGUGAAAGAUAUUAUUGAGGAAGCUUGCAACUUGAAAACUUUAAGACAGCUUAAUUUGUACCUGCCAAACAUCGAAAUAUUGUGGAAACGCAGAACCGGUAGCGCAUCAUUGCUCCAUUACCCUUUGCCACGUUUUAGAUUUACUGUCGGUUAUCACAAGCGGCAGGUCAUAUCUCGAGUACCGGAAGAAGUAGAAGCUCACUUCAAUAAAAGCAACAAAUGCUUGAAGUUUGUCAAAGGCAAUGAUAUCCCAGCUGAAAUGAAAAAGGUUCUGAACCACAGCACAGCUUUUUUCCUGGAAGGUCAUGCUACCGCUAGGAGUUUGUCUGAUUUCGGAAUUGAGAAUACCAGGCUGCUAAAAUGUUGCUUAUUGACAGAAUGUAAUGGAGUCAAAACCAUCAUUGAUUUGUCACAAGGUGGUGGACACUCACAAGUUUACACAAGAGGAAAAGGGAAGAGCGAGUCACUGAGUAUGUGAUAGGACUUCCUUCAAAUGAUUUUUUUUUCCUCUUCUUGUUAUCAUUUCGUUUCAUUACAUAGGUAUUUAUACUACUCAAUAGAUGAUUCUAGACUCAAACAUUAAAUUUAAAACAUUCAUUUAGAUUUACGAAUAAUUAGGUUCAUGAAUACCUUCAUAAAUAGUAAUGUUCAUCUAGCUUCAUGAAUAAUUAGGUUCAUGAAUUCAUAUUAACUUUAAGUUUAAUAUCCAACAACUGAGCAAAAAAAAGUUUAAUAUCCAACAUGAUUGUGCAGAGUUUCCUGAAGAACAAACUGAUGCACUUGGAAAUCUACAAGACUUGAAUAUAUAUUACAUGAAGAAUUUAGAGAGCAUUUGGAAGGGGCCUGUUCAUAAGCACUGCCUAGCUAGCCUGAAGUUCCUUGCACUUCAUAAAUGCCCCAGAUUGAGUACCAUUUUCUCACUAGAUUUGGUUGCUAAUCUUGACAAUUUAGAAGAGCUCAUUGUUGAACACUGCCCUCAACUGACCAGUCUUGUGAGCCCGACGGGUCAUGUGUCCAGUAACUCAACACCACAACCAAAUUGCUUUUUUCCUAGCUUGAAAAGAAUAUCACUGCUUUACGUGCCAAAUCUUGUUAGCAUUUCUAGUGGUUUGUGGAUUGCUCCAGAACUGGAAAAAGUAGGCUUUUACAAUUGCCCAAAGCUUAAGAGUCUUUCCGCGAUGGAAAUGUCAAGUGACCAUUUGACGAGGAUCAAAGGAGAAAGUCACUGGUGGGAAGCAUUGGAGUGGAAAAACUCAGAGUGGGGGAACCCGCUGGAUUAUCUGCAGAGUAUCUUUUCCCCACUUAUUAAGGAGAGAGAUGUGAAGGCGCAAUUGGCAGAAGAAGGAAUUAUGCACCAUGCUUCAACUUAAACAAGGAGAGAGAUGUAAGGGCGCUGGGCAACAGCCAGGUAAUUUCUUUUGAAUUAAGAAGGUGUCCUUUUAUUUGUCAUCCAAAUAGUACAAGUAAAUAAGCAGAUAAUGGGCUUAAUAAUGAAGGAUGAGCAAUUCAGGAAGGGCUAAUAUCUGAUUCCCCUCACCCCCCACCAAAAAAAGGAUCAGCAAAAACAAUAAUAAGAACUACUGGGCACCUCUGUUCUUUUGUUUUUUGUCAGAGUUCUCUAUGUUCUUUAGACUAUACUUCUCAUGAUAUAAGUGAUUGGUCUUGGACAAAACUGUACUUCCAGGGCUCCAAGAGCUAAAUGUGGAACCAUGACAGCUUACGUUGGUGGCUCGGAUUUUGAAUAAAUUGAAGGUCACAGCCUAACACCAAACGGGUGAUAGUUUGUUUUGUCUGAGUAGGCAUCUGCAUGAGUAGCUUGCCGAUAGUGUAUGCACCUUUUGUUUUUUUAUGAUAUUAAACCUUGUAUUUGAUUUCUGAGAGAUACAUUUCUAACAUGGAUAUCAUCACGCCGAGGGUUCAAUGCCAGAACAUUGGCGGGUAUAUCAAGAAUUAGUUGUUUGCUAUAAUCCCUGUCAAGUUUUAUUCUGAUUAUGUUGAAAUUGUGAUAAAAGAGCUUUUGCUUCAUUUUUUGUUCUCUUGCAGUCUCUGUUCAUUGAUUGAAAACUGAAACUCUGUGAAGAUUUUGAACCAAUUGCUUUAUUAAAUUUCAGGCAUAUUGACGUAUCCUGGAAGUAACCUAGAGUUAAAGCAGCAAAUAAAAAUUUUUUGGGACCUAGAGUUAAGGCAGUGCGAAUUGUAGGCAUAUGUCCAAAGUUUUUCUUUGUGCUAUAGUAAAAGGUAACUAGUAUGAGGAAUCUACAACAUUUAUUCAAACUAAAGCAGUGCAAAUCUUAUGUUGUUCUUAAUUAUUCUCAUUACAGCAGUGCAAACUUGAAUAACCAAAGAAACAUUCACCUGAGGCAACAGCAGGAUUGAAGGUGGUCUCUAACCUCACUGUCUCUCCACUGUAGUGCUUCCCACCAUUUUCGUUUUCCUUCUAUUAAUUUUAGCUCUGUUGCAUUAUGUUCACUGAAAGGUAGUGAUUUCACCUCGGGACAUCCAAAUAUCUUAAGCACCUUUAAAUAGGGCCAUGCCGAUGACUCAUCCGCAGAUAUAAUUCUUAAUUUCGGCAUGUCAACCAGUUCCAAAAUCUCUAGAGUUGGAAGCUCAGUCAAGUUUUCUAUCUCGAAGUAGCUUUCCAUCACCAAUUUUUUGAGUUUUGAGAGCUGUUGAAUCACCCGUUUGGAAAAUAUCUUUGUCAACAUUGGACAACUCUUUACUACAAUAGUGUGCUGUUUUGACAAGCUUUUUCCUGAAGUGGGGCCUUCGAAAAUACUCUUCUUAAGGAGCAAAUUCCUUAAAUGUAACUAUUCCAAGAUCGGUAGAAUGUCCAUUUCUCCUUCCCUUGCGGCAUCUAUAAUGCUUGUGAUUUUUUUUUUUUGAAUAAUAACGACUAUUAUUAGCUAGGUCUGGAAAAUGAAUACAACCCUGAAGGAAGAACAAGACAACAAGGUAACAAGGGAAACAGAGAUUUGCCUGAUAGAUCUCUGUUUCUCAUAGUACCCAAUCCAAGACUCAAUCCCCUGAGUAAUCGGAGCAUCAUUCAAAACAAAAGAACAACCAAGCUCCUUGAGAAAAUAAAAAGUGAUGUACACUCCCCUGACAAAAAGAACACAACCUCCCUUAUUCUAGACAGCAGAACCCCAGAACCUCUUCCCAGACUCCAGCCCUCUAAGAUGAGAAAGGAGAAGAAACAAAGGGGGGCACAGAUUCAUGACAAUGCUCACAUAGCAUCAAAGUUCUGCCUAACAUCAACCUGCCUCACCAUCAAUUUAAAACAUACACAAUGUUCCAGAGCCAAAAUUCGCUGCAUUUUUGGCGAGUAUAUCAGCCUCCUGGUUUGCUUCCCGCAGAGUGUGAGUUAUCUUCCAAGGCCCUAGCUGUUCCUCAAUCAUUUCAAUUAAAAUAACCCAUAUGCUUGUGAUUUUAUUGCAUCGCUCAAUCAGACAACCGCGAACAUGGUUCAGGCUGGCAACAUUCAUGAAGUCUGUUAGACAUUUGAUGUUGUUGUGACAGAUCAAUUCCAAUGCAUCAGUUUUAGGAAGGACAUCACGAACUGUAGAAUCAUCAUUGCCAGGACAGCAGUAUCUCAUAUAUCUAUUUACAUUGUAUUCCAAACAGUGAAGAAUCCAAGGGUUGUUGUCGCUUUCACAGCCAACCAAAAACCAAAAUGAGGUUAAUUGUUCGCGAUCCCUCCAUGAUGGCCUGUUUUCAAUUAACAUUUUGAGGAUCUUUGAUCGCGGAAAGCUUAUUCUAAGAGUAGUUAAAUUCUUCAAGAAAGCCACUUCCUGAAUGACUCUUUUUGCAACAUCAAUGCACCAAUGCCCAUAGGAGGUCACAUCAAUCAUCAGUUCCUCCAGUCUUAGAAGUCUUGAAAUCACCUUGUAAUCAAUUUCCAUAUCAUGACAAUCUUCUAUAUUGCUGCAUUUAUGGUAUGACAUCCGCAAGCACCUUACGUCAACUAAUUUUCCAAUAAGAUGAGGUAUGAAUAUUAUCUUGCGCAGCCUUUAAUGUCAAGCACCUCAAGAAAAUGAAGUUCUGCAACUUAGGGAGGCAACUUUGUUACGCUGGGGCAAUCAUUUAAGAAAAGUGCCUUAAGUCUAAUCAACUUUGAUACAGAUGACGACAGUCAUUGAAUUCGUGUUUGGUACAAGUCCAAAACUAGGAGCGUCUGCAUGUUCUUAAAAAAUGAUGGUGGAAUUGCGACCAAAUCGGGGUUUUUUUGUAGUAAUAGAGACAAAAGUUGGUUGCAGUUUGGACUUGCUGGCAAGUCAUUCAGUUUUCCUUCAAUCAUGGAGAUCCUUUUUGCCUGUUGCCAAUCUUUCAGCCUUUGGGUAUAAGGUGAAGUUUCACCUUUUGGAGCAAAAAAUUUGCAAUCAGGGUCUUGUGAGGAAACGUACAAGGCCAAUUGUCUGACACUAUUGUUCACUUGAACAUAAAUCAUUCUUUCACCUUUCUCUAGCAAUGGCACAUUGGUUAGAUGUCCCAAUAUGUCAUAUCCUUUAUCUCUUGCAUCCCGAAGACUCCUCCUGUCAUCAAUAUUGCCAAGAAGUCCUUCAGCCGCCCAACACUCCAGUAAUAAUCUGUAUAUAUCUUGCUAUCAGCUGGAUAUAAUGCACCAUAUAGAAAGCAUUUCUUUUUCUUCUCAACCUUCAGCUCGUCAUAACAAAACUUGAGUGCUGCAGACAUUUUUGUUAAACCUGGGAUCUCAAUUGUUGGCCAUUUUUCAAGUUCGCUCAAUUCAUUUCUCCAUUCAGAAUCACUGUCCUUUAAUUUGAAGGAACUUGCUACUGUUCUGAUCACAAGUGGGAGUCGAUCACACUCUUCAACUACCAGCCGAGCAACUGGUUCAACAUCAGGGAGAUCGAUUUUCUCAGCUGCUAUCUGUUGAAACAUCCUCCAUGCCUCAUCUGAAGAUAAUUUAUCCAUUUUGACCAUUCUAUCUGUCAUUGACGAACAAACAUGACGGAAUUCAGUAGUCAAUACCACUUUGCUACCAUUACCAUUGUAAUACCCCUCACAAAGUAUUUAUUAAAAAAAAAAUUAAAUUAAAAUUAUUAAGCUAUAGUUUUAUAAAGAUAAUAAGUAGAUAUUAUUUUAGUAUUUUAUUUAUUUACAAUUAUGACCUUGGGUGUCUUAAUAAAUAAAAAAAAAUAGAAAAAAUGGUCUUUAAGUAAAAGAAGAAGUUUAAUUAAGUCAGUUUUAUUAUCACGUUUAAGUUAGUGGAGUUAAGGGUCAGUUUUUUUAUCCCAUUUAAGUUAGUGGGGUUAGGUAGUUUAUAAGUUUUAAAAGAACAGACAACAACUUACGUUAGUUCAUUCAUCAUAUUCAAACAACAGACAGUCAGAAAAACUUAAUAUCAGGGAAGAAGAAAGACAGAUGAGAGGGAAAGAUAUUGCUGAUUAAGGUAUGUUUGGGAAUUAUAUUUUCAUAAUUUGGGUACAAAAACCCUAAAUUAGAUAAGUUUUUUUUAUUUUUUUUAUUUAAAUUCGGCACUUUUCUGAUGACUUUCCUGUAGCAUGAUGGGUACCAAUGGAAAGGUCUUGAAAAGAUCUUUCCAAUGGUUUUUGUAGCAUCUUGUUUGGCCUUAUGGUUAGGAAUAUAUGAAUUUUUGAAGUUAAUUAGAAAUCUGGUUUUCAACAGUUUUGACAGCCCGACUUUGGGUCACCGGAACUCCAUNNNNNNUGGAUAUGUGAUUUCUACUGUAUUUUUAUGUUAAGAAGUAUGUAUUUUUAUAUUUUAUAAAUUUAUUUCUUAAAUUAUAGAUUUUAUUAAAAUAUCAAAAAUUUAUGAAAAAUUAUAAAUAUGAUUUUUUACAAGUGAAAUUAGUAUUAUUUCUCUAUCUGAAAUUUAAAGUCCUUACUGAUUUUAUGAUUUAAGUUUAAUUCUCAACCUUAUUGAAAAUUUUGUUUAAUUCAAAAAUAUAAAUAAUAAUAAUAUAUUACCUUAUUAACAAAAAAAAAAAAGUUCAUAAAUUGUAAUAGGAGUCGCUACACACCCUAAGUGCUUAGGAUGGUCAACGAAAAGUCGCCUUGUAGGAUCUGUUUGCAAAUUUAGUUCUGAUUUUUGUGUUUCUCGAAAUACUAGGCUACUAAGAGGAUUUUCGGAUUUGCUACUUGAAAGUAAAAUUUACGAGAUCAAGUAAGUGACUGAUAUCCCUUCGGUGUUUUCACACCUUAAAAAUUAGCUUCAAUCUGAAUUUGUACAUGAGAUAUAAUAUUUUGUCCUAUGAUUUAUUAAAAUUGGGUUGAGCAUGCAAAAUGUAUAUGUAUAUAAGUUUAUAUGUUAGAUUUAAAAUGUGAUUUAUGCAAAACGUGAUUUCUGAAUUGGAAAUUUGUUCAUGACUUGGUUUAAUGUAUACGUAUAUGUUUUUGCGAAUAUAAACAUAAAUGUUUAGUUUGAAACGAAUAUGCUUUUAAGGUGUAUGAGAUAUGCUUGAGAAAUUUGAUAUACUGUUUUAUGAUCUUUGGGUAAUCUAAAAAUAUAUAUUUCUGUUUUAUCUCCUAGUAUGGCUAUGCUCUAACCCUGCUAAUGUGGGUUAAAUGUUGGCCAUGUCGACAUGUAUUUUGUGAUUAGAGAUCGAUCUCCCAACCGCACCACCGAUUACAGAAUAGUGGUAUUUGUGAUAUUUGUUCAGUGCAGCCAAUGGUUGCUUUUUCUGACCCAUGCCACUGGGGUUAAUUGUGGUUCUAUUUCUGACCUAUGUCACAGGGGUUAAGUGUGGUCGUAGCAUGUUAUAGGAGACCAUUAAAAGUUAAAUAUUGUGAAUAUAUUUGUUCUGUUAUUUGAAUGCGCAAAUUUUGAAUUAUGUGAUUCCAAAUAAGAUUACCCAAUAUUUUGUCUUGGCAUUUGUAAAUGAUAUUUUGCCCUGAAUGUUUUAAGCAUGCUUAAUCUGGCUGAAUGGAUGUUAGUUAUUUGCUGAGUAGUUGGACUCACCCCUUCCUUCAAUUUUUUUUCAGGUUGUGAUUUGGUCAACCACGCGGGAACUUUGGGGAGUGAUGUUUAAUUUAGUAAGACUUAAAUUAUCUAGGAUUUAUUUAAAUAUUAUGAACAUCGUACUAUCUUAAUUAGUAUUCAGACUUUUAUCUUGACUUAGUAGCUUUAUGGUUUUGGAGAUUUAAUUUUGAAUAUUGUCGAAUUAUGAUAUUUGGAAAUUCUGUCAACAGAUAUAGUUUAUAAAUCACUAAAUUCUUCAGGUAUAUCAGUAUCUUUUAGUAAUAGUUUAAGAUAUAUAUUUUAGAGCCUUGCAUGUCUGUAGAAUUAUACUUUAUAGGUAUGCGACGUCUGUCAUGUCUCGGGUCUGAGGCGUGACAACCAUAUUUGGGAUUCUAAUCUGCUGCAAAUCAAUGGAGUCCAUGACCUCAUCCAGAAGCAGCAAAUACUUCUUAUGCUUCAUAUAUUCUGAUAUGAUCCUCGCAAGUUCACCAGAGCACGUAGCACGUUCCGCCUUCAGUUUAAGUCGCUGUGCAAUGUUCAGUUGCAGUUUCUCAUCAUUCCUCUCCCUUGAAACAUUUAUCUAAAUGACUAUAUCAAACAUUUUGGCAACUUCUUCGGGGUUGUUCAAGUUCUUCAUUAUUGUUGUUUUCCCAACUCCCACUGUGCCAAAAAUUCCGAUUCCUUUUAGUUUAUCGCUUCUUAGCAACUCCCGUAUUUCUUGUAAUGAUCUUCGAAGGGUAGGAAAUCCUUCAAGGUCUGGUGCAUUCAACUUCACAAUUUUUUCUGGAGGCUUAUCUACCAAAAAUCCUCUUUUAAAUGCUCCCUCUCUUUCACAAUUUUUUCGAAUUGUGCACCCAGCUUCAACUUAAACAAGGAGAGAGACGUAAGGGCGCUGGGCAACAACCAGGUAAUUUCUUUUGAAUUCAGGGGGUGGCCUUUUAUUUUUCAUCCAAGCAGUACUAGUAAAUAGGCAGAUAGUGGGCUUAAAUAUGGAGGAUGGACAAUUCAAAAAGGGCUAAUGUCUGAUUCCUCCAACCCAAAAAAUAAACCCAACAAAAACAAUAAGAAAAACCACUGGGCACCUCUGUUCGUUUGUUUUUUGUCAGAGUUGUCUAUGCUUUUUAGAAUAUUCUUCCCAUUGUUCAUGAUUAAAGUGAUAGGUCUUGGACAAAACUGUAUUUUUAGGAGUGCAGGAGCUAAAUGUGGAACCAUGGCAGUUUACAUGGGUGGAUCUGUUCUUGAAUAAAUUAUCUAAAGAAAUGCUGAAGGUCGAAGCCUCACCAACAUGGGAGAUAGUUUAUUUUCUCUGAGCAGGCAUUUGUAAGUGGUAUAUGCACCUUUAAUUUUCCCUGAUAUAAAACCUUUUAUUGGAUUUAGAGAGACACAUUUCCAACAGGAUAUCAUCACGCUAAGGGUUCAAUGCCAGAGCAUUGACAGGUAUUUCAAGAAUUAGUUGUUUGCUACAACCCCUGUCAAGUUUGAUUCAGAUUAUGUUGAAAUUGUCUUUGGCAAAUACCUAUAACUCCAUGCAGCAGUUGGAAAUAAAGAGCUUUUUCAUUAUUUUGUUUUCUCCUGCAAUCUCUGUUCUUUGAUUGAAAACUGAAAAUCUGUGAAGAUUUUUAACCAACUGCUUUAUUGAAAUUCUGGCAUAUUGAUUUUGUAUCCUGGGAGUAAAGCAACAAAUUUCAGGCAUAUGUUCAAAGUUUUUCUUUAUGCUACACUGAAAGGUAACUAGUACGAGGAAUUUCCAAAUCCAACGGCUUCUAACAUUUCAAGUCUACAACACCCAUUCAAUCAAAGCAGUGCAAAUCCUAUGUUGUUCUUAAUUGUUGUAAUUAUAGCUGUACAAAUUAGAAUAACCAAAAGCAACAUUCACCUUAGGCUGCAAAAGGAUUGAAUAUGGUCUCUAACCUCACUGUUUCGCCACUGCAAUGCUUCCCACCAUAUUUGUUCUCCCUCUAUUAACUUCAGCUUGGUCGAAAUGUCUUCGUUGAAAGGUAACGAUUUCAACUCGUGACAUCCAAAUAUCUUAAGGACCUUUAAAUACGGCCAUGCCAAUGGCUGUCCUGCGCAUAUAGUUCUUAAUUUCGGCAAGUCAAUUAGUUCCAAUAUCUCUAGGCUCGGAAGCUCAUAUGAAAAUGGUUCAACGCCCCAACAGUUCUCAAUCAAUUCUUCUACCUCGAAACAGCUUUCAAUUGCCAAUUUCUUGAGUUUGGAGACCUGUUGAAUCACUCCAUUAGACAGUAUCUUUCUCAACAUUGGGCAACUCUUCACCACAAUGGUAUGUAGCUUUGACAAGCUUUUGCCUGCAAUAGGGCCUUCAAAAACACUCUUCAGACAGAGCAAACUCCUUAAAUGUAACUGUUCCAGAAUUGGUAGAAUGUCUAUAACUCCUACCUUGUUGCCAUCUAAAAUAGUUGUCAUUUCAUUGCAUCUUUCAAUCAGACAACCACGAACAUGGUUCAGGCUGGCAACAUUCACGAAGUCUGAUAGACAUUUGAUGUUGUUAUGACUGACCAAUUCCAAUGCAUCAGUUUUAGGAAGGACAUCACGAAUUGUAGAAUCAUCAUUGCCAGGAUAGCAGUAUCUCAUAUAUCGAUUUACUUUGUACUCAAAGUAGUCAAGAAUUGGAGGAUUGUUCUUGUUUUCACAGCCAACAAAAAACCAAAAUGAAGUUAAUUGUUUGUGAUCCCUAUAUGAUCGCUUGUUUUCCAUUAACAUUUUGAGGAUCUCUGGUUGUGGAAAGCAUAUUCUGAGAGUAGUUAAAUUCUCCAAGGAAGCCACUUCCCGAAUGACUCUUGCAACAUCAACGCACCAAUGGCCAUAGGAGGUCACAUCAAUCAUCAGUUCCUCCAAUCUUAGAAGCCUUGAAAUCACAUUGUCAACAAUUUCCACAUCACGACAGUCUUCUGUAUUGCUGCAUUUAUGGUAUGACAUCCGCAAACACCUCAAAUAAACUAAUUUUCCAAUAAGUGGAGGUAUGAAUAUUAUCUUGCAGCCUCGAAUGUCAAGCACCUCAAGAAAACGAAGUUCUGCUACUUGGGUAGGCAACUUUGUUAUGCUGGGGCAAUCAUUUAAGAAAAGAGCCUUAAGUCUAGUCAAUGUUGAUACAGAUAAUGGCAGUGAUGCUAUUCCUGUCCUGUACAAGUCCAAAACUAUAAGCUUCUGCACGUUCUGGAAAAAUGAUAGUGGAAUAGUAGCUAAAUUAGGAUUUCUUUAUAGUAAUAGAGACAAAAGUUCCUCACAGUUUGGACUUUCUGGUAACUCAAGCAGUUUUCCUUCAAUCAUAGAGAUCCUUUUUGCCUGCUGCCAAUCUGUCGCAUUUUGAGGAUAAGGUGAAUGUUCACCUUUUAAAGCAAUGAAUUUGCAAUCAGGCUCUUGUGAGGAAAUGUAUAAGGCAACUUGUCGGACACUGUUGUUCACUUGAACAUAGAUCAUUCUCUCACCUUUCUCUAGCAAUGACACAUUGACUAGAUGCCCCAAUAUGUCAUAUCCUUCAUCUCGUGCAUCUCGAAAUCUUCUCCUGUCAUCAAUAGUCCCAAGGAAUCCUUCAGCCGCCCCAACACUCCACUAAAUGAUCAACAUAUAUCUUGCUACCAGCUGGAUAUAAUGCACCAUACAGAAAGCAUUUCUUUUUCUUCUCAUCCUUCAGCUCAUGAUAACAAAACUUAAGGAAUGCAUGCAUGUUUGUUAAGCCUUGAAUCUCAAUUUCUGGCCAUUUUUCAAGUUCUCUCAAUCCAUUCCUCCAUUCAGAAUCACUUUCCUUCAGUUUGAAGGAACUUGCCACUGUUCUGAUCACAAGUGGGAGUCGAUCACACUCUUCGGCUACUAGCCGAGCAACUGGUUCAACAUCAGGGAGAUCUAUUUUUUCAGCUGCUGUCUGUUGAAACAUCCUCCAUGCCUCAUCUGGAGAUAAUCGGUCCACUUUGACCAUUCUUUCUGUCAUUGAGGAACAAACAUGACGGAAUUCAGUAGUCAAUACCACUUUGCUACCAUUACCAUUAUCUGGGAUUCCAAUCUGCUGCAAAUCAAUGGAAUCCAUGACCUCAUCUAGAAGCAGCAAAUACUUCUUAUCCUUCAUAUGUUCUGAUAUGAUCCUCGCAAGGUCACCAGAGCAUGUAGCACUUUCCAUCUUAAGUUUAAGUCGCUGUGCAAUUUUCAGUUGCAGUUUCUCCUCAUUCAUCUCCCUUGAAACAUUUACCCAAAUGACUAUAUCAAACAUUUUGGCAACUUCUUCGUGGUUAUUCAAGUUCUUCAUUAUUGCUGUUUUCCCAACUCCCACUGUGCCAAAAAUUCCAAUUCCUUUUAGUUUAUCACUUCUUAGCAACUCUAGUGUUUCUUGCAAAGGUCUUUGAAGGGUAGGAAAUCCUUCAAGGUCUGGUGCAUUCAACCUUACAAUGGCUUCUGGAGGCUUAUCUACUAGAAAUCCUCCUUGAAAAUCUCCCUCUUCCACAAGUCUCUCAACUUCCUGGCGCAAAGUAAUGGCCUUGCCACUGUAAUCUGAUCGGCGCAUCAAAUGUGAAGAUCGUUCCUUAUCAUACUCAGCUCGUAAUCUUUCCACUUUUUCAAGAGUCUUCACAACGCUGCUGAGCUACGUUUGAUAGCAUCUGGUGGUUGUUUUUGUUCUAUUUUGUUCCACUAUCCUCUCAUUGUCGUCCCUUUUUGCCUGGAGCUUUUCUGCUGCAGUUAUCAUCAUGUCAAAAUUAUUAUCCAUAUUGUACGAUAAACCACGCUUCCCCAUAAAAUUGUUGUGUUUUGAUGGAUAUAUGAGAAGUAUGAAAGCACAGCAAGUGAAAAAGAGUUUUCUGGAGUAACAGAAGCUUAAUGUUUUUGAUAUGCAUUAACUUAGUUUUUAAUACAUAGCAAAGCUUAACUAGUAAGCUUAGAUCAGUAUAAGGCACAAGAAUACAUGCUAAUCAUUGCAUAAGUCUUUCACUAGAUGCAUAGCUAUCAUAAUAAGAUAGGAAUCUAGCUGUCUUAAUACAAAAUGAUCACAUAUGAUCCUAAGGUUAAUAGCAUGCACUGAUGUGGUUUUCAAUGCAAGUCCUAUUUCAACAAAAAUAGUUCCAUGCUUCCUUUGCCAAUUCGAUUGUGACUUCCAGCCCAUCGUUAGCCAUUAUAACUUCUACGCUGCAACUGGCAUUCCAAAUUGCAAAAAAAAAAAAAAAAAAGGAUCAGGUGUCUACUCUGCUCAUAUUUAUAUACUUUAGAGGGUAACUCAAAUUCCUGAAGUGGUCAGGCUAAGAUAAUUUGCAGCCAAAGUACUCUUGUUUCUUUAUAGCAAAAUUCUUCUUUUAUGUCUUUAUUCUUCCUAAACCCCAAACAAUGUCAGUUACUAUCUUCUUUAACCUCUUCCGAGUUCAAUUCAAAGCUUCAUGUAUAACCCUGAAAUCUUACCAAGAAAACAGAAGUAAAGAAAUCUCUCUCCAGAUUUAUUCCAACCCUCAGAAUCCAAUUAUAUUUCUUCCAAUAUAAGAAAAAGAUAUAUCAAAUUUCUUACCUUUUAUUUGCGGUCGAAGACAAAGAAACUUCCACGACAUGCCCAGCAGUUCCUGGUAGCUUUUUCUACACCUCGGCUGUAUCUCUUCCAUGCACUGAAAUUCCAACUGGAAAACAAGAACACAAACGUGAUAAUGGCUACCUGAUGAGAUAUACAAUUAGAAAUUGACUAUGUUCAUUUGAAUUCAGAGUUUUAAAGUACUUUUACUAAAGAGAAAGAUCGAGCUAAGGUUCAAAAAUUAAAAAAAAAAACAAUCAAUCAACUUGGAUUGAGGUGAUUAAAGAUUCUCUUAACAUUCGGGAUGUUCCAUCUUCCCUACUAGAUGGUGACAGCCCCAUUUUCUCUUUGUGGUAAGCUUCAACUAGUAGUUGCCUUGGUAACUCUAUUUCUAAGAAAAUAUAAAUAUAAUUUCUACUUUUGUUUCUUCAAUAAUUUAAAAAGUUGAAAAUCAUAACUUUGUGAGUCUCGCGUCCCCUUGUCUGCUUCCCAUUGAUUAAGGAAAACCCUUAGGCUUAACGCCGAUGGUUCAACUACCUGCUCCUGUCGAAAUCCUUGGGACCCCUUCAAGUCUGGGACAGGUGACAAGGUGACAGCUGGGAGAUGGAGAGAAAACAGUGCAUACCAGCCUUCUCACAUGAAGUUUGAAAGCUUUGAACAAGCCUGCUGGAGUGGUGGAGGCCGUGGCAGAGAGGCUGAGUAUGAGAUGAGAAAAACAGGGGAGUUGCUGCUCAGCAUUUAAUAGGUUGGUCUAAGCUUGUUUCGCACAAGACUUCUCUCCCGCUGAUACAGAUACAUAUGCAAGCCAGGUACUCGAAUUCCUUACACUAAGCAAUUUGUUUGCAUGAUUUUUUUUUUAUUAAAAAAAAUAGCCCAUAAACCAAGUUGAUCCUUGUGGAAGCACUUCAAGAAUAAAAUUUUGAAUGCACUAAGUCGACGUUAGAGAAUGUGCCUUUAAGGUUGUCUGGGCAAGAUUGUAUCAUUAAUGCAUGCUCAUCAUCUUACCUUGCGUAUUAUUAUUAUUAUUAUUAUUUGAUAGCUAAUUCUCGACUCUUAGUUCAUAUUGCUACAUGCUUUCAGCUUCGAAUUCAUUAAUUUUCCAUCCUCAGAUAACAAUGUCCCGCUGCUUUUGUCUUGUAUUCAAUCACAUUUGGUGGACGACACCUCAUCUCCCAUUGUCUAGACUUUAUGGUACUACAUCUUACGUCUUUCUCUUUCUCUCUUUUUUUCUUUUUUCGAUAGAGAAAUGGAGAGCUGGGAACAUAAGAAUCUUAGAAAUUAGCUAAUACGAGGAAUGAAGCUAGCAAGGAAGCUUCAAGCGUAUCUCAAAGCUUCCAAAGAAGCUUGUGAAUUACAGAAACAGAUUCUAUCCUCCCAAGGAAAGGCAUUUUCAAUUAUUAACUGCAGCACCUCCUCCACGGCAGCCAAGCCAAAGUACAUAGCUCACAGCUCGCCUACUCGUAAGGGAAGUUGCCGGAGUGAGGACUCUGACCAUGAUUUCAAGGAGCAGUACUAUGGAAGGCACACUUGCAAUAUAGCCUCAGAUGUGAUGCCUUCAAGACUACCCAAAAUACUAGCUGUACAGAACCUACUCUUUAUCAUUUUCUGUUUAGAUUAGGGUCUUUUUUAUAGAUAGAUUAAAGUAAUUUACAUACUGAUAUUAUAGUGAAAUAAGUAUUUUUCAUGUAUAUUUGCAGCCUUCGGAUACUGUAGGUGAUGUAGAUGGAUAUGAUAAACAGGAUUCAAAAUCUAGUCUUCAGUCAAGCGUAAACAAUCCUGUUGAUCAAACUUGCAUUUCAUCAACCGAGGUGACGAGUGAGCUUCCAAAUUCAGAGCUCAACCAGAAUGAGUUCCCAAACCCAUCAUAUACGUCACCUCUAACAAUCCUUUAUGAGUAUCAAGUGAGGAAGAACUGCAAGGUGCUGAACAGGAAGAAGGAUGUGCUACUCCUACUUUCAUGUUAUCCUAUGAUUAUGAUUGACAAAUUUGACUCAAAGAAAUGGAUUACAGAUGUAUGGCAUUCAUGAGAGAUGCAAAAUCAACAGAAAAGAUUUUAUACGGUGAAGAGGUAGCGGAAGAUUGGCCAUUAAUAAUGAGGCUACAUGAACUUUCUGUACGCUUGCAGAAGCUGCUCGAUGUUCCCUUGACGAAUAAUAUUGAGCGAGUUUUACCAGGGGACAUAGUUGAGAAUCUAUAUAGGCCAACAGAAGCUGAUUUAAGACCCUUGUUGGAGGUGGAACAGAAUAUAAUUGCCGGAAAGACAUCAAAAUCUAGAGGUUCACCAAGUCACAGUGAAGGGGCAGCAAUGGAAACUGAAAAUGAAUUGCAGCCAAUGCCUGCAAGAUGUAAAACUCAGGUAGAAGAUACUGAGUUGUCAACCAAAGAAACACUGUAUGUACCCGAAGAAAUAUUGGAUUUGGCCGUUGAUUUAGCUAUUCAUUAGAUCUUAAGAUGUAUAAACAGAGGAGAUAUCAGGUGUAUUACAAUCAGUGGAAGAAAUAAAAAAAGGGUGUUAGAAGCAAUAAAGCAACACUGAGAAAUAGGUUCCACGUUUGGAUAUAUCAUUGUUUUCACUGUGUCAGAUAAUCAAAAUGGGGCAAAGGUUCACGGUGUCUUUCACCUGCAGAAGGGGUUUUGGCUAGGUGGAUGCUCUGAUGCUGUUGGCCUUACACCUGAAUAUUCUGACCACUUGUGCUCCCUAGGAAACUUAUUGCUUACGGAAGAUGAUUAUGAUGAGAACAUGAACCUGGAUCACUUUACACUCCCAUUUUUGAUAACUGGUUGACCAUAAACAUAGUGAUUCAAGGUUCAUAAUCUUUACUUCUAAAAUGGCAGUAGACAUGGAGAUUAGAAUGGAGGAUCAUUUGUUUUCGUGGAAAUUGUUUCAUAGGAUUGUGGGUGAAGUUUCGCUUUCCCCUAGUAUCCAACAGAUGGCAGCAUGUAUGGUGAAAGAGUGCCGUGGCAAUCUACUUGCCAUCCUUCUAAUGGCCAGUUCCUUGAAGAAAGUUACUGACGAUGUCAAAUUGUGGGAACUUGCUGUUCAAAGAUUGACCAUGCUACCUCCAUCUCGAUAGAAGAUAUAGAAAAUGUGGUUAACGCAUUAACAUUCGUUUGGGAUCAUAUGAACAAGAAAACAAGACAUUGCAUUGAGUUUUAUAUACUGUAUCACAAGGGAAAGAAAAUCAACAGAUUCGAACUAAUACAAUGUUGGGUCAAGGAAAAUGUGGUUGGUACCUAUGAUGAAGGAGACCGCAUUCUCCAAAGUCUUAUUGAUAUAUUCCUGCUUAAUUAUUUUGUGGUGUUAAAUUGUGUCGAACUGCAAGGAGAGAUCUAUGACGUAUUAGUGAACCUAGUUAUUCCCCAAUCCCAAAUGCAUCCAUUAUGUCUUAUGAAAGGAGGGUUGAGAUUGAUUAAACCACCAAAAGAAGAGUUAUGGUGGGAUGCCAAAGAGAUCCAUUUGAUGGAUAAUAAAUUAUCUGACCUACCAGAAUCUCCAACGUGCCCCUCACUAUUUAAACUGUACCUUCAGAAGAACUUGGAUCUGAUGGCUAUCCCAUCUUGUUUCUUCAAGCACAUGCCUCUCCUUGAAAUUCUAGACUUAUCACACACCAGUAUCAAAUCUUUGCCAGAGUCGCUUUCUAGUUUGGUUAAACUUCGAGAAUUCCUUUUGAAAGGCUGUGAACUCUUCACACAACUCCCUAGUCAUGUUGGAGAACUGAAGAAUCUUGAGAAGCUUGACCUUGAUGGAACUCAGAUUAUAGAUCUCCCAGCAGAGAUUGGACAUCUUUCCAAAUUAAAAAUUUUGAGGGUCUCAUUCUAUGGAUAUAUGAACUGCAGCAAAACAAUGUUGCGGCGAGAUACAAUAAUUCCCCAUGGAACAAUAUCAGGUUUUUUUGAAUUAACUGAAUUAAGCAUUGAAGUUGAUCCGGACGAUGAACGCUGGCAUGCAACUGUGAAAGCUAUUAUUGAGGAAGCUUGCAACCUGAAAACUUUAAGACAGCUUAAUUUGUACUUGCCAAACAUCGAAAUAUUGUGGAAAUGCAGAACACGUAGCACAUCAUUGCUCCAUUACCCCUUGCCACGUUUCAGAUUUACUGUCGGUUAU